UACGUAGGGGGCAAGCGUUGUCCGGAUUUAUUGGGCGUAAAGAGCUCGUAGGCGGUUCCGGAAGUCGUGAAGUCAAAUCUCUGGGCUCAACCCAGAAUCGCUUCCGAUACUGCGGUGACUGGAGUCCGGUAGGGGAGUGUGGAAUUCCUGGUGUAGCGGUGAAAUGCGCAGAUAUCAGGAGGAACACCAACAGCGAAGGCAGCACUCUGGGCCGGUACUGACGCUGAGGAGCGAAAGCAUGGGGAGCGAACAGG
This 254-nucleotide ribosomal RNA is filed under the name uncultured bacterium. RNAcentral describes it as "partial 16S ribosomal RNA". It matches the Rfam family "Bacterial small subunit ribosomal RNA", at positions 524 to 776 of the family's 1533-position model. The record is from RNAcentral.